AAGCUAGCAAUAAAUAUUUAUUGAGUCCUUUGAAAUGUAUCCAGAUAAGUUUUCUUUCAAUUUGAAAAAUCCUUUUCCUUUCUUAAUCAGUUCUCAUAAAAUUCAUUUUUCAAGGCUUUGCCACAUAAGGACUUCCCUGAUUGUCACAAUCUGUAUUUGAGUUUAAUUCUCAACAGACAUUUAUUGCACCUCUACUAGAGUCCUUGUAUUUUAUUGUUUUCUGAGGCUAAAGAGAUGGAAAUCAGUCCUUGUCCCCAGGAAGCUUACAGUCUAGUGGAGAAGGCAGACAGACAGCUGUGAUGGAGAUAGUGAGGCAUGCACUGGAUGCUCAGGGCUGCAGAAAGAAGAUACAUUAACUUGGUCUGAGAGGUCUUUCUGGGGUUGAAUGCCUCAGCUGAAUCUAAUAGUUGGUGGGAAAAGAAGAGGAUAUUCUAGGCAAAGAAAACUGCUGAUACAAAGAGAGAUGAAGGGGAGCAUGCUUCAUCUGGCGACAAGUGGGUCCCCGUGGCUGGAGCACUAGGCAUGAGUGUGGGUCAGGGGAGGCACCAAAGAAACAAAGGCGGCUGGGGAACAGCCAAGACCUGGAUUACAGAAGGUCUUGAAUGUCACAGCAAGGCAGCUAGACUUUACCAGGAAUCCAUGGCAAGCCACUGAAUGGCCUUCAGCAGGGGUGACAUUAUAGAAUUUACUGCCUCUCUUGCUUCUCCAUAGCAACUGGCUUGACUUUACUACACUGCUUGUUUCAGUUUGCCUCUUGCUGCUGUGGUUUGUAUGUGUGUCUCCUCUCCAACGGGCCCACCAGGUAAACUUCGUGAAUGUCUUCAGGAUUUCCAAGACCCCAAAGCACCUGUCAACUGGUGUGUACACAGCAGGGAUCAGUGCUUUGUGGGUAUUUGACACAUGGGCUUGAGCCAUGCAUUCCUAGAGGCUACCAUCAAUCGUGGGGCUGCUAGACUGAGGUUUAAGGAGGAUGUUUAUUUUCCUUGGGCCACAAAUCCCCACUGAAAUGGAUGCAAGAGAAAAGUUCUGAAUUCUAAUGGGGAAGAAAGGGUGGGAAAUCACACAAAACUAAGAACCCUUAGUCAUCUUUGUCAUGAUUUUAUCUGCCUCCCACCCAGGAUCCCACUGAGAUAUUUUGAGGCUGUUCUGCAGCAAAAACUUGGUUGCUUUUCUGAAGCUUUCUGGAAUUUCCGCCUAGUGAACAGAUGGCAUUGUUUUCAUAUGAAGAGCAAAAGAAUCUCAUGUACUCAAACACUGAAAGCUUGAGAAAACACAUAGCGCAUGAGUAGCAAUUAUAAUGGGGAAGGAACAUGCUGUGUCAACAGAGAGCUAGACUCUGUACAAAGCAAGAAUCCAGCUGGUUCUUUGGCCAGUAAUGGGGCCUCUGUGUUAGGGUGAGGAUAUGUGUGCACCAGUGUGGUGCUAACACAGGCUCUGGGUCGCAUCUAUCAGCACAACUGAAUCGCUCUUCUUCUCUCUUUCUAUUAUAUAUAAAGUUCCUAGCAUGGGCUUGGUCCUGAGAAUCCAGAGGUGAAAACAGACAGUCCCUGACCUCAGGGGCUGUCAGCAUGGUGGUAGAUAGAUUUCUUUAUAAAAGAUCUGCACAAAAAAAUGGAAAGAGAAAGUAGGAACCUCUAACUUAGCCUGGAGAGCUCGGGGCGGGGGGGGGUGGAGGUGGGUCCUAGGGGAGGUUCUCUCAGAGCUGAGUCUUAGGAGUUGACUGGGAUCUGGCCAGGAGGGGUGGCAAGAAGGCAAAGUAAAGAGCAAGACUGAGGUCAUCCUGGAUGGAGGGGACAGUGUGAGCCAGGGCCUGGAGGUUCCAGGGGGAAGUGAACUCAGGGACAUCGCACAAGCCCAUGCUGCAUGUCUGGAUAGGGUAGGGCGUGGCCAAAAAUGAGGCCAGAGAUGUAAGCUGGGAAUUAGAAAUGUCUGAACAUAGGGAAAUAUCUGAGCAAAACAGCAUUACGUAAGUUCAUGCAAAUUACUUGCAAAACAAGGUGUACCCUCUCAGGAAACCUACUUACAAGGUUGAGUGCAUGAAAGUAUUUGGUAACAGAUCCCUACUGCCAAGAUCAACAGGUUGCAUAAGAAAGAAGUAGUCAUUUAUUCAUUGAAUCUAAACACAUAUAGAGAGCAUGUGCUGAGUGAGUGCCAGGCACUGGAAGUCCAUGAUCAAAACUAUAUUCCUGACAAAAUGACUAGGACUUGUCAUUCUGCCUACGGUGAAGACGGAGGAGUUCCCGUUGUGGCUCAGUGGUUAACAAAUCUGACUAGGAACCAUGAGGUUGCAGGUUCGAUCCCUGACCUUGCUCAGUGGGUUAAGGAUUCAGCGUUGCCGUGAGCUGUGGUGUAGGUCGCAGAUGCGGCUCGGAUCCCGUGUUUCUGUGGCUCUGGUGUCAGCCAGUGGCUGCAGCUCCGAUUCGACCCCUAGCCUGGGAACUUCCAUAUGCCGCGGGAGAGGCCCUAGAAAAG
RNAcentral lists this long non-coding RNA (2472 nucleotides) under Sus scrofa (pig). Its description in RNAcentral is "lncRNA (ENSSSCG00040019314.1)". The record is from RNAcentral. Lineage: Eukaryota; Metazoa; Chordata; Mammalia; Artiodactyla; Suidae.